AUGAGCUUGGUCUGGCAACACGUCUCCCUCGUCCUAGCGAUCUUGUUAAGUAUGCUGAGAGCUGUAUGUACACUCCACUCUACCGCAGCUAUCGUUAAACUGGGAAUUUUGGCUGACAUUUAACUAAUCCCAUUUCCGGCUACAUUGGGAGGUUUGAGUUUUAGGCUCAUUCAUAGUUCUAGAUGAAAUAUUUUGUAUGUCAAUGCCUAGUAGAGUCA
RNAcentral lists this unclassified non-coding RNA (218 nucleotides) under Hevea brasiliensis (rubber tree). The record is from RNAcentral. Lineage: Eukaryota; Viridiplantae; Streptophyta; Magnoliopsida; Malpighiales; Euphorbiaceae.